AGAGUUUGAUCAUGGCUCAGGAUGAACGCUGGCGGCGUGCUUAACACAUGCAAGUCGAACGAAGCACUUUACCACGAUUCCUUCGGGAUGACGGUUUGGUGACUGAGUGGCGGACGGGUGAGUAACGCGUGGGGAGCCUGCCCCAUACCGGGGGAUAACAGCCGGAAACGGCUGCUAAUACCGCAUAAGCGCACAGUACCGCAUGGUACGGUGUGAAAAACUCCGGUGGUAUGGGACGGACCCGCGUCUGAUUAGCCAGUUGGCGGGGUAACGGCCCACCAAAGCGACGAUCAGUAGCCGGCCUGAGAGGGCGACCGGCCACAUUGGGACUGAGACACGGCCCAGACUCCUACGGGAGGCAGCAGUGGGGAAUAUUGCACAAUGGGGGAAACCCUGAUGCAGCGACGCCGCGUGAGUGAGGAAGUAUUUCGGUAUGUAAAGCUCUAUCAGCAGGGAAGAAGAAAUGACGGUACCUGACUAAGAAGCCCCGGCUAACUACGUGCCAGCAGCCGCGGUAAUACGUAGGGGGCAAGCGUUAUCCGGAUUUACUGGGUGUAAAGGGAGCGCAGGCGGCAUGAUAAGUCUGAUGUGAAAACCCAAGGCUCAACCAUGGGACUGCAUUGGAAACUGUCGUGCUGGAGUGUCGGAGAGGUAAGCGGAAUUCCUAGUGUAGCGGUGAAAUGCGUAGAUAUUAGGAGGAACACCAGUGGCGAAGGCGGCUACUGGGCACCAACUGACGCUGAGGCUCGAAAGUGUGGGUAGCAAACAGGAUUAGAUACCCUGGUAGUCCACACUGUAAACGAUGAUUACUAGGUGUUGGAGGAUUGACCCCUUCAGUGCCGCAGUUAACACAAUAAGUAAUCCACCUGGGGAGUACGACCGCAAGGUUGAAACUCAAAGGAAUUGACGGGGGCCCGCACAAGCAGUGGAGUAUGUGGUUUAAUUCGACGCAACGCGAAGAACCUUACCAAGUCUUGACAUCCUGCGACGGACAUAGAAAUAUGUUUUUCCUUCGGGACGCAGAGACAGGUGGUGCAUGGUUGUCGUCAGCUCGUGUCGUGAGAUGUUGGGUUAAGUCCCGCAACGAGCGCAACCCUUAUGGUCAGUUACUACGCAAGAGGACUCUGGCCAGACUGCCGUUGACAAAACGGAGGAAGGUGGGGAUGACGUCAAAUCAUCAUGCCCUUUAUGACUUGGGCUACACACGUACUACAAUGGCGUUAAACAAAGAGAAGCAAGACCGCGAGGUGGAGCAAAACUCAGAAACAACGUCCCAGUUCGGACUGCAGGCUGCAACUCGCCUGCACGAAGUCGGAAUUGCUAGUAAUCGCAGAUCAGCAUGCUGCGGUGAAUACGUUCCCGGGCCUUGUACACACCGCCCGUCACACCAUGAGAGCCGGGGGGACCCGAAGUCGGUAGUCUAACCGCAAGGAGGACGCCGCCGAAGGUAAAACUGGUGAUUGGGGUGAAGUCGUAACAAGGUA
RNAcentral lists this ribosomal RNA (1484 nucleotides) under metagenome. Its description in RNAcentral is "bacterial SSU rRNA". It matches the Rfam family "Bacterial small subunit ribosomal RNA". The record is from RNAcentral.